This 741-nucleotide unclassified non-coding RNA is filed under the name Hevea brasiliensis (rubber tree). Lineage: Eukaryota; Viridiplantae; Streptophyta; Magnoliopsida; Malpighiales; Euphorbiaceae. The record is from RNAcentral.
AUCAUGCCACUGCAUGCGAAGCUCAUGGUUCCGAACCUGAUGAAGCGAAACCCAAGGAAGAGGCUCACAGGAGAGCCUCUAACAAUGAUCCAGAAAGCAAGCAUUUGAAAACAAAGAACCCUGAAUGUUCUCAUCAAUCAAUUUCAGAUUCUUCUGAUGCUGUAGAGAGCGCAUUGAGCUGCACUAAGCCAUCAAUGCAAAGCAGCAAAUUUUCGCAGGAACUGACAAGUCCUCUAUUGGCAAGCUAUGAACCACAAGAAAUUUCACAACAAAGUAGAGGUUGUAUCUCAGAGCGUCAAUCGCCAUCUAGGUCUCUUGCACAAGUAGAAAAGCAGAAUCAGACUGUUGAAGAAAAUGAUUCAAGACCAAAGAGGAUGGGAAGAAGGGCGAGGAUGCUUGAUCUGGGGAAGAAGAUGGGGGACAAACUUGAAGAGAAGAGACGUCACAUUGAAGAAAAGGGUAGGAGCAUUGUUGAGAAGAUGAGAGGACCAUGAACUACCAAAACAAGGAGUGCUCGGACGUCCAUAGGAUUGGUAGCCAUUGUCAUUGAUGGACAGAGCGGACGCACCCAUUAAUUUGAAUAGAUGAUUAAGUAUAAUAUUUUAGGUGUUAAAAACUUUUUUAUAUAGAAUUGGCAAACCCAUGUCAAAGCCCUACAGAUAUACUAUUAACUUUACGGGUUUUCCAAUUUAAGGGUGGCAAGGACUUGCAUAGCAAAAUACAGUAAAACAGAGUCGAGCA